This 524-nucleotide ribosomal RNA is filed under the name uncultured bacterium. RNAcentral describes it as "partial 16S ribosomal RNA". It matches the Rfam family "Bacterial small subunit ribosomal RNA", at positions 28 to 523 of the family's 1533-position model. The record is from RNAcentral.
GACGAACGCUGGCGGCGUGCCUAAUACAUGCAAGUCGAGCGCAGGAAACUGACGGAACUCUUCGGAGGGAAGGCAGUGGAAUGAGCGGCGGACGGGUGAGUAACACGUAAGGAACCUGCCUCAAGGAUUGGGAUAACUCCGAGAAAUCGGAGCUAAUACCGGAUAGUUCAUCGGACCGCAUGGUCCGUUGAUGAAAGGCGCUCCGGCGUCACCUUGAGAUGGCCUUGCGGUGCAUUAGCUAGUUGGUGGGGUAACGACCCACCAAGGCGACGUUGCAUAGCCGAGCUGAGAGGGUGAGCGGCCACACUGGGACUGAGACACGGCCCAGACUCCUACGGGAGGCAGCAGUAGGGAAUCUUCCACAAUGGAUGAAAGUCUGAUGGAGCAACGCCGCGUGAGUGAUGAAGGUUUUCGGAUCGUAAAACUCUGUUGUAAGGGAAGAACACGUACGAGAGGGAAUGCUCGUACCUUGACGGUACCUUACGAGAAAGCCACGGCUAACUACGUGCCAGCCGCCGCGGUAA